AUACUGGAAUGGAAUGUAUAUAGUGGAAUGAUACACUGAUUACAUGGCCCUGUGCAAGGAUGGCAUGAAAAUUCAUGAAAUGUUCCAUAUUUUU
RNAcentral lists this small nuclear RNA (94 nucleotides) under Canis lupus familiaris (dog). RNAcentral also lists the same sequence under 1 other name. Lineage: Eukaryota; Metazoa; Chordata; Mammalia; Carnivora; Canidae. The record is from RNAcentral.